CGUGUAGGCGGCUUGAUAAGUCAGAUGUGAAAGCCCUGGGCUUAACCCAGGAAGUGCAUUUGAAACUGUCUUGCUUGAGUAAGGGAGGGGGAAGUGGAAUUCCUGGUGUAGAGGUGAAAUUCGUAGAUAUCAGGAGGAACACCGGCGGCGAAGGCGACUUCCUGGCCCUAUACUGACGCUGAGACGCGAGAGCGUGGGUAGCAAACA
This 207-nucleotide ribosomal RNA is filed under the name uncultured delta proteobacterium. RNAcentral describes it as "partial 16S ribosomal RNA". It matches the Rfam family "Bacterial small subunit ribosomal RNA", at positions 568 to 774 of the family's 1533-position model. Lineage: Bacteria; Deltaproteobacteria. The record is from RNAcentral.